UCAGCUUCAUUCUGAGCCGAGCCCGGUUCCGAGGGCAGGUAGCUCCGCAGACGGCGGCGGCGGCGGCGGCGACGGCGGCGGCGGCGGCGGCGGACUGAGCUCCGGGGCAGCCCGCUCCCUCCUCCCGGUCUCUCAUUCCCCGCGAUCAGCAUGAAAGCCUUCAGUCCAGUGAGGUCCGUUAGGAAAAACAGCCUUUCGGACCACAGCCUGGGCAUCUCCCGGAGCAAAACCCCGGUGGACGACCCGAUGAGCCUGCUGUAUAACAUGAACGACUGCUACUCCAAGCUCAAGGAGCUGGUGCCCAGCAUCCCCCAGAACAAGAAGGUGAGCAAGAUGGAAAUCCUGCAGCACGUCAUCGACUACAUCUUGGACCUGCAGAUCGCCCUGGACUCGCACCCCACUAUUGUCAGCCUGCACCACCAGCGACCCGGGCAGAGCCAGGCGUCCAGGACGCCGCUGACCACCCUAAACACGGACAUCAGCAUCCUGUCCUUUCAGGUAAGACCUGCUCCCAUGCCCCGCUCGCUGCCGCGCACCCCCAGCGAUGCCUGGGCUGCCCCUGGCAGAGCCAUUGUCCAGACGGACGGCCGUAGUCGGUGACUUACAGAUGAACUAAUAACUUUAUUAUUAUUAUUUACAAAUAUGGUGUAGAUUGAGUCGUGCGUGAAAUUACUGGUAAGUUCUAACCUGUUAAUGCAUCUGUCUUUGAGUCUGAAUGUAGCAUUAACGUAUUUAAUGGAACUUGCUGUUUAAACAAAAACUGUUUUAAAAAAGGCCCUUUCUCCUUAAGAUUGUCUAACGUUGUGCCUCUCAUCUCCUUUCUCGCAGGCUUCUGAAUUCCCUUCUGAGUUAAUGUCAAAUGACAGCAAAGCGCUCUGUGGCUGAAUAAAUGUCUUUUGCAGGCGCUGACUUUUUGUUUCCUUUGCACAAUAACAACAACAACUCCACAGGCUCUUUUAAGGCGCUGAACUCACUUUUCAACCCUUUCCCAAGGAGGACAGCAAGUCAAAGGGACCUUUUUUAAAAAUGGAAGGAAAACUGAGAACGAUCAACUUCCCCGGGGUGUUUUCUGACAUGGACUGUGAUAUUAGUUAUUUAUGAAAAAGACUUUUAAAUGCCCUUUCUGCAGUUGGAAGGUUUUCUUUAUAUACUAUUCCCACCAUGGGGAGCGAAAACGUUAAAAUCACAAGGAAUUGCCCAAUUUAAGCAGACUUUGCCUUUUUUCAAAGGUGGAGCGUGAAUACCGGAAGGAUCCAGUAUUCAGUUACUUAAAUGAAGACUUUCGGUCAGAAAUUACCUUUUUGACGCAAGCCUACUGAAUGCUGUGUAUAUAUUUAUAUAUAAAUAUAUAUAUAUUGAGUGAAACCUUGUGAACUCUUUAAUUAGAGUUUUCUUGUACAGUGGCAGAAAUGUAUAUUUCUGCAUACAAAGUGUAAUGAUGUACUUAUUCAUGCUAAACUUUUUAUAAAAGUUUAGUUGUAAACUUAACCCUUUUAUACAAAAUAAAUCAAGUGUGUUUAUUGAAUGGUGAUUGCCUGCUUUAUUUCAGAGGACCAGUGCUUUGAUUUUUAUUAUGCUGUUAUAUAACUGAACCCAAAUAAAUACAAGUUCAAAUUUAUGUAGACUG
Physeter macrocephalus (sperm whale) is the source of this 1627-nucleotide RNA transcript. It is a transcript of the gene named inhibitor of DNA binding 2, with no coding region annotated. The record is from RefSeq and is a predicted model, not a curated record. The transcript is spliced from 2 exons. Lineage: Eukaryota; Metazoa; Chordata; Mammalia; Artiodactyla; Physeteridae.